RNAcentral lists this long non-coding RNA (655 nucleotides) under Mytilus galloprovincialis (Mediterranean mussel). The record is from RNAcentral. Lineage: Eukaryota; Metazoa; Mollusca; Bivalvia; Mytilida; Mytilidae.
CUCGCCUUCUAUACUAAUCAUUGAUAUUAUGUUGAUAGUCCUAAGUAUAAAGCUAAGCUUUAUUACAACUGUCACAUAAACUUAACAUUAACCAAGAUAACUAAACAAAGACCAAUGAACCUUGAAAAAGAGGUCCAGGUCAGAUGAACCAUGCCAGGCAGACAGGUACAGCUACAAUGCUUCUAUACAACAUAUAUAGUUGACACAUUACUUAUAGUUUAAGAAAAAUAGACCAAAACACAAAAAACUUAACACUGUGCAAUGAACCGUGAAAAUGAGGUCACGGUUAAAUAAAACCUGCUCGACUGACAUAAAGAUCAUAAAAUAUUUCCAUACACCAAAUAUAGUUGACCUAUGGCAUAUAGCAUUAGAUAAAAAGACCAAAACUCAAAAACUUAACUUUGACCACCGAACCAUGAAAAUGAGGUCAAGGUCACAUGACAUCUGCCCGCUAGACAUGUACACUUAACAAUCAUUCCAUACAACAAAUAAAGUAGACCUAUUGCAUAUGGUAUGAGAAAAACAGACCAAAACACAAAAAUUUAACUAUAACCACUGAACCAUGAAAAUGAGGUCAAGGUCAGAUGACACCUGCCAGUUGGACAUGUACACCUUACAGUCCUUCCAUACACCGAAUAUACUAGCCCUAUUGCUU